RNAcentral lists this long non-coding RNA (684 nucleotides) under Homo sapiens (human). RNAcentral's name for it is "HSALNT0086806". The record is from RNAcentral. Lineage: Eukaryota; Metazoa; Chordata; Mammalia; Primates; Hominidae.
CAAAUGUCCAAGGGAACAUUUUCAAAAUUCCCCAAGAGAACAGUGUUUUAUGAAAGAAUAGAGUCUAGUGAUCCGUAUAGCCACAGUAAGAAGCUGGGAGAGUUAAAACCAACUUUGAGGAGCCUAGCAAGAAUUGCGACACCGAUGGGUAAAAACUCGAUCUCUCCUCAUUCUUCCCUCCUUUCCUGUCCCUUCUCCUUGCUGCAUCUUCGUGAAACAGCACAGUUAUGGCAAAGGAGCUAUCCUGUACCAACACGAAGGAGAGAGUGGUAAAGGACCCCACAGAAAUGGAGGGAAUGAUAUUGACACAAAAAUGGCAACAAGAUCUAACUCCAGCGUCAAACUGAAGUAACAGCAGCUGCAGCAACUAAGAAUCUCAUUCUGUCCCCCCAGCUGGAGCACAGUGGUAUGAUCUCGGCUCACUGCAACCUCCGCCUCCCGGGUUCAAGUGAUUCUCCUGCCUCAGCCUCCCAAGUAGCUGGGACUACAGGUGCCUGCCACCAUGCCUGGCUGAUUUUUGUAUUUUUAGUAGAGACUGGGUUUCACCAUAUUGGCCAGGCUGGUCUUGAACUCCUGAACUUGUGAUCCGCCCGCCUCAGCCUCCCAAAGUACAUUAAUAACUUUUUAAAACUCUGAAUAUAAUAGGCAUUAAAGAUUUCUAGAAUGCCAUGGGUUCUGAGUCAU